This 593-nucleotide small RNA is filed under the name Arabidopsis thaliana (thale cress). Its description in RNAcentral is "ATSL170700". Lineage: Eukaryota; Viridiplantae; Streptophyta; Magnoliopsida; Brassicales; Brassicaceae. The record is from RNAcentral.
UAUUUUCAUUUCCCUUUUAAUUUAGUUUUGAAAUUGAAAAAAACUAAAUAAUAAUAAGAAUCAUACAAAAUAUAUUUUAGUUAGAUAUACAAUGUGUUUAUUUAUUCUAAAAUACCAUAAACUAUUCAAUAGAGUAACUUUCUAAGUAAUAUCAAAAAUAAUAAAAAUUUAUAUCUUUUGAAUAUUUUUGUUGGUCAAUGCCGGUCAAUGAUUGAUUUUGACAAUUCGUAUGCCGGAAAAAGAUGUUCGUGAUGUUCACCACAUGUCGUCAUAUAGUUGGUAUAUGUGGGCAUGCAAUACAUCUAGUUCGUGUAGUUGGUUGUACAUUUCUAAACUUGGUAUGUGUGGUCAUGUAUUCUGUUAUACUCGGUGUAGCUGAACAUCUUUUUUCCUAUUUUUAACUAUGUAUUAUGAUUUUUAUUUUGGCAAAAAACUUUAUACUUUUUCUUUUGCCAUGCAAACUUUAGACUAAAGAGUCAUCUACUUAAUUUUUCCCUAAUGAAAUUAAUAAAAUUUAUUUUCAUUUCCCUUUUAAGUUAGUUUUGAAAUUGAAAAAAAAAAAAUAAUAAGAAUCAUACAAUUUUUUUUGAAAA